GGUAGUGUGGCCGAGGAGUAGGCAGCGGCUUGUAAAGCCGCCCACAGGGACAAUGUCUCUCAUUACCA
Molecule: transfer RNA, 68 nt
Filed under: Pachydactylus macrolepis
Lineage: Eukaryota; Metazoa; Chordata; Lepidosauria; Squamata; Gekkonidae
Description: Pachydactylus mariquensis macrolepis tRNA-Tyr
Source: RNAcentral